Agrilus planipennis (emerald ash borer) is the source of this 512-nucleotide long non-coding RNA. RefSeq lists it as uncharacterized. The record is from RefSeq and is a predicted model, not a curated record. Lineage: Eukaryota; Metazoa; Arthropoda; Insecta; Coleoptera; Buprestidae. The transcript has 2 exons.
UGCAUACGGCGGACGUGUAAUAAUUUAUUCAAUUUGAAUGUUUAGGCUUGUACAGUUAAUUUUGAAUUAAGGUUAACAGAAAUUAAUUGCGCUUGUUGUAAAUCUGCGCGAAGGAGGGAUGGCUAUCCAAAAUUAAACAAAGGAAGAGCAACAACAAGAAGAAAUAAUUGAAUCUUUGUUAUAAAUACUUGCCAUUCUGAAAACAUUUGCUUCGAAUAUCCAAGGCUACUUCAUCGAGUGAAUUUGCUAGUAGAUAACUCACACCUAGGGUUCCGCAUCAGAAUGGUACAUUGGAACCUUAAUACUGGGCUAAAUGAAGAAGAGAAAGCAAUUGUUAUAAGUAACUAAUCAUUAGAACGCCUAAUUAUAAGAUGGAAGGUUAAACAUUAUCUUGGCGUGAUUUUGAAAUUAUUGAAAUACGUUAUGGGUUAUCCAUGGUACCCACCAAAGGUUUAGUUAUCAGUAGUUGAUGUAGUACUGAUCAUUGCUGCAUUAGACGUUGUCUUCGGUAA